AGUGAACGCUGGCGGCGUGCCUAAUACAUGCAAGUCGAACGAAGUGGCGCACGGGUGAGUAAUAUAUAGUUAAUCUGCCCUACACAGAGGAACGACAGUUGGAAACGACUGCUAAUACCUCCUAGUGUAGGAUGAGACUAUAUCGUAUCAGCUAGUUGGUAAGGUAAUGGCUUACCAAGGCUAUGACGAGUAACUGGUCUGAGAGGAUGAUCAGUCACAGUGGAACUGAGACACGAGUCAAAAGCCUACGGGAGUGAGCAGUAAGGAAUAUUGCGCAAGGGGGGUGACCCUGACGCAUCUACGGCUCGUAGAGGAUUACACUUUUCGGAGCGUGAACGCCAUUUAUCAGGAAAGCGGUACCUGCUGAAUAAGCACCGGCUAACUCCGUGCCAGCCGCCGCGGUAAUAC
RNAcentral lists this ribosomal RNA (408 nucleotides) under uncultured bacterium. RNAcentral describes it as "partial 16S ribosomal RNA". It matches the Rfam family "Bacterial small subunit ribosomal RNA", at positions 29 to 526 of the family's 1533-position model. The record is from RNAcentral.